Molecule: transfer RNA, 76 nt
Filed under: Oscillospiraceae bacterium
Lineage: Bacteria; Bacillati; Bacillota; Clostridia; Eubacteriales; Oscillospiraceae
Description: tRNA-Thr
Rfam family: tRNA
About the family: Transfer RNA (tRNA) molecules are approximately 80 nucleotides in length. Their secondary structure includes four short double-helical elements and three loops (D, anti-codon, and T loops).
Source: RNAcentral
GCCGCAUUCGCUCAGUUGGCAGAGCAGAUGAUUUGUAAUCGUCAGGUCGUGGGUUUGAGUCCCCCAUGCGGCUCCA